UGCAGUCGAGCGGACAGAAGGGAGCUUGCUCCCGGAUGUUAGCGGCGGACGGGUGAGUAACACGUGGGUAACCUGCCUGUAAGACUGGGAUAACUCCGGGAAACCGGAGCUAAUACCGGAUAGUUCCUUGAACCGCAUGGUUCAAGGAUGAAAGACGGUUUCGGCUGUCACUUACAGAUGGACCCGCGGCGCAUUAGCUAGUUGGUGAGGUAACGGCUCACCAAGGCGACGAUGCGUAGCCGACCUGAGAGGGUGAUCGGCCACACUGGGACUGAGACACGGCCCAGACUCCUACGGGAGGCAGCAGUAGGGAAUCUUCCGCAAUGGACGAAAGUCUGACGGAGCAACGCCGCGUGAGUGAUGAAGGUUUUCGGAUCGUAAAGCUCUGUUGUUAGGGAAGAACAAGUGCAAGAGUAACUGCUUGCACCUUGACGGUACCUAACCAGAAAGCCACGGCUAACUACGUGCCAGCAGCCGCGGUAAUACGUAGGUGGCAAGCGUUGUCCGGAAUUAUUGGGCGUAAAGGGCUCGCAGGCGGUUUCUUAAGUCUGAUGUGAAAGCCCCCGGCUCAACCGGGGAGGGUCAUUGGAAACUGGGAAACUUGAGUGCAGAAGAGGAGAGUGGAAUUCCACGUGUAGCGGUGAAAUGCGUAGAGAUGUGGAGGAACACCAGUGGCGAAGGCGACUCUCUGGUCUGUAACUGACGCUGAGGAGCGAAAGCGUGGGGAGCGAACAGGAUUAGAUACCCUGGUAGUCCACGCCGUAAACGAUGAGUGCUAAGUGUUAGGGGGUUUCCGCCCCUUAGUGCUGCAGCUAACGCAUUAAGCACUCCGCCUGGGGAGUACGGUCGCAAGACUGAAACUCAAAGGAAUUGACGGGGGCCCGCACAAGCGG
This 893-nucleotide ribosomal RNA is filed under the name Bacillus sp. LMR54. RNAcentral describes it as "bacterial SSU rRNA". It matches the Rfam family "Bacterial small subunit ribosomal RNA", at positions 56 to 932 of the family's 1533-position model. Lineage: Bacteria; Bacillati; Bacillota; Bacilli; Caryophanales; Bacillaceae. The record is from RNAcentral.